Molecule: transfer RNA, 85 nt
Filed under: Felis catus (domestic cat)
Lineage: Eukaryota; Metazoa; Chordata; Mammalia; Carnivora; Felidae
Rfam family: tRNA
About the family: Transfer RNA (tRNA) molecules are approximately 80 nucleotides in length. Their secondary structure includes four short double-helical elements and three loops (D, anti-codon, and T loops). Further hydrogen bonds mediate the characteristic L-shaped molecular structure. tRNAs have two regions of fundamental functional importance: the anti-codon, which is responsible for specific mRNA codon recognition, and the 3' end, to which the tRNAs corresponding amino acid is attached (by aminoacyl-tRNA synthetases). tRNAs cope with the degeneracy of the genetic code in two manners: having more than one tRNA (with a specific anti-codon) for a particular amino acid; and 'wobble' base-pairing, i.e. permitting non-standard base-pairing at the 3rd anti-codon position.
Source: Rfam by way of RNAcentral
GCCUGGGUGGCUCAGUCAGUUAAGCUUCUGAUUUAGGCUCAGGUCAUGAUCUUGUGGUUUGUGGGUUCAAGCCCCAUGUCGGGCU